This 867-nucleotide ribosomal RNA is filed under the name uncultured bacterium. Its description in RNAcentral is "bacterial SSU rRNA". It matches the Rfam family "Bacterial small subunit ribosomal RNA", at positions 66 to 962 of the family's 1533-position model. The record is from RNAcentral.
UCGGAGCAGCAAUGCUUAGAGGCGAACGGGUGAGGAAAACGUAGUAACCAACCCUUUAGACUGGGAUAGCCACUGGAAACGGUGGGUAAUACCGGAUAAGCUCGAGAGAGGAAAGGCAGAGAAGCGCUAAAGGACGGAACUGCGCCCCAUCAGAUAGUUGGUGAGGCAAAGGCUUACCAAGUCAAAGACGGGAAACCGACGUGAGAGCGUGUACGGUCACAAGGGCACUGAGAGACGGGCCCUACUCCUACGGGAGGCAGCAGUGGGGAAUAUUGGACAAUGGACGAAAGUCUGAUCCAGCGACGCCGCGUGGAGGAAGAAGUCCUUCGGGAUGUAAACUCAUGAAGCUAACGAAUAAGACGGAAGGGGAACCUUCCGGGAGAAGGUAAUUAGUGAAAAGCCCCGGCUAACUACGUGCCAGCAGCCGCGGUAAUACGUAGGGGGCGAGCGUUGCCCGGAAUUACUGGGCGUAAAGGGAACGUAGGUGGCUCUUAAAGUCAGGUGUGAAAAUAACGAAGCUUAACAGGUUAAUGCGCUUGAAACUAAAGGGCUUGAGGGCAAUAGAGGGAGAUGGAAUUACCUGUGUAGGGGUGAAAUCCGCAGAUAUAGGUAAGAAGGCCGGUGGGGAAGCCGAUCUCCUGGGUUGACUCUGACACUGAGGUUCGAAAGCUAGGGGAGCAAACCGGAUUAGAUACCCGGGUAGUCCUAGCCGUAAACGAUGCUCACUGGGUGUGGGUCGAAAAGAUCUGUGCUGAAGCUAACGCGAUAAGUGAGCCGCCUGGGGAGUACGUCCGCAAGGAUGAAACUCAAGGAAUUGACGGGGGUCCGCACAGGCGGUGGAGCAUGUGGUUUAAUUCGAUGCUAACC